AGCUCCAUCAGUGUAUAUUAAAGUUGUUGCGGUUAAAAAGCUCGUAGUUGGAUUUCGGAGUGCGAAAGUCAAGACCCAUCAAAUUGGUGAGGUCCGACGGUCGCCUCCUAGCUUAGGGUAACAGCCCCGCUUCCUUCGCGGGUUGCGGUGUGCCGUUCCCUAUCGUUUACUUUGAUAAAAUCAGAGUGUUCAAAGCAGGCGUCACUUGCCUUGAAUGUUGCCGCAAGGGAUAAUGGAAUAUGACUUCGGUCUUAUUUUGUUGGUUUCUAGGGCUGAAGUAAUGACUAAUAGGGACAGUUGGGGGCGCUCGUAUUGAGUUGUCAGAGGUGAAAUUCUAGGAUUUACUCAAGACGAACUAGUGCGAAAGCAUUCGCCAAGGAUGUUUUCAUUAAUCAAGAAC
RNAcentral lists this ribosomal RNA (400 nucleotides) under phytoplankton environmental sample. RNAcentral describes it as "partial small subunit ribosomal RNA". It matches the Rfam family "Eukaryotic small subunit ribosomal RNA", at positions 587 to 984 of the family's 1831-position model. The record is from RNAcentral.